UGCGGCCCUUAUCGAAGACGAUUCAGUGAACUUGAUUUCUUGGAUCGGUCAAUACAGGAGCCAACAGUAUCAUCUUUUGCCGACGGUCGCUGUGUAGUUAACAUGUACCUUUUCAGCAACAUAUUGGAAAAGAACACUA
Hypomesus transpacificus is the source of this 139-nucleotide small nucleolar RNA. The record is from RefSeq and is a predicted model, not a curated record. NCBI's taxonomy places the organism in Eukaryota, Metazoa, Chordata, Actinopteri, Osmeriformes, Osmeridae.